Molecule: ribosomal RNA, 697 nt
Filed under: uncultured bacterium
Lineage: Bacteria
Description: bacterial SSU rRNA
Rfam family: Bacterial small subunit ribosomal RNA
Source: RNAcentral
UACACACGGAUAACAUACCGAAAGGUAUGCUAAUACGGGAUAAUAUAUUUGAGAGGCAUCUCUUAAAUAUCAAAGGUGAGCCAGUACAGGAUGGACCCGCGUCUGAUUAGCUAGUUGGUAAGGUGACGGCUUACCAAGGCGACGAUCAGUAGCCGACCUGAGAGGGUGAUCGGCCACAUUGGAACUGAGACACGGUCCAAACUCCUACGGGAGGCAGCAGUGGGGAAUAUUGCACAAUGGGCGAAAGCCUGAUGCAGCAACGCCGCGUGAGUGAUGAAGGCCUUCGGGUCGUAAAACUCUGUCCUCAAGGAAGAUAAUGACGGUACUUGAGGAGGAAGCCCCGGCUAACUACGUGCCAGCAGCCGCGGUAAUACGUAGGGGGCUAGCGUUAUCCGGAUUUACUGGGCGUAAAGGGUGCGUAGGCGGUCUUUCAAGUCAGGAGUGAAAGGCUACGGCUCAACCGUAGUAAGCUCUUGAAACUGGGAGACUUGAGUGCAGGAGAGGAGAGUGGAAUUCCUAGUGUAGCGGUGAAAUGCGUAGAUAUUAGGAGGAACACCAGUUGCGAAGGCGGCUCUCUGGACUGUAACUGACGCUGAGGCACGAAAGCGUGGGGAGCAAACAGGAUUAGAUACCCUGGUAGUCCACGCUGUAAACGAUGAGUACUAGGUGUCGGGGGUUACCCCCUUCGGUGCCGCAG